AAUUUAAUAAAAACAGAAACUUAUUUAAACUGUGAAUCUGGCACAGCGUCUCUACAAAGCACCGUAAAUGCUUUACAAUAAGCCAAGAUACUAAGCCG
Molecule: non-coding RNA, 98 nt
Filed under: Streptococcus sobrinus
Lineage: Bacteria; Bacillati; Bacillota; Bacilli; Lactobacillales; Streptococcaceae
Description: Guanine sequence
Rfam family: Purine riboswitch aptamer
About the family: Riboswitches are metabolite binding domains within certain messenger RNAs that serve as precision sensors for their corresponding targets. Allosteric rearrangement of mRNA structure is mediated by ligand binding, and this results in modulation of gene expression.
Source: RNAcentral